GCAAGUCGAACGGUAACAUUUCUAGCUUGCUAGAAGAUGACGAGUGGCGGACGGGUGAGUAAUGCUUGGGAACUUGCCUUUGCGAGGGGGAUAACAGUUGGAAACGACUGCUAAUACCGCAUAAUGUCUUCGGACCAAACGGGGCUUCGGCUCCGGCGCAAAGAGAGGCCCAAGUGAGAUUAGCUAGUUGGUAAGGUAACGGCUUACCAAGGCGACGAUCUCUAGCUGUUCUGAGAGGAAGAUCAGCCACACUGGGACUGAGACACGGCCCAGACUCCUACGGGAGGCAGCAGUGGGGAAUAUUGCACAAUGGGGGAAACCCUGAUGCAGCCAUGCCGCGUGUGUGAAGAAGGCCUUCGGGUUGUAAAGCACUUUCAGUUGUGAGGAAAAGUUAGUAGUUAAUACCUGCUAGCCGUGACGUUAACAACAGAAGAAGCACCGGCUAACUCCGUGCCAGCAGCCGCGGUAAUACGGAGGGUGCGAGCGUUAAUCGGAAUUACUGGGCGUAAAGCGCACGCAGGCGGUUUGUUAAGCUAGAUGUGAAAGCCCCGGGCUCAACCUGGGAUGGUCAUUUAGAACUGGCAGACUAGAGUCUUGGAGAGGGGAGUGGAAUUCCAGGUGUAGCGGUGGAAUGCGUAGAUAUCUGGAGGAACAUCAGUGGCGAAGGCGACUCUCUGGCCAAAGACUGACGCUCAUGUGCGAAAGUGUGGGUAGCGAACAGGAUUAGAUACCCUGGUAGUCCACACCGUAAACGCUGUCUACUAGCUGUGUGUGCCUUUAAGGCGUGCGUAGCGAAGCUAACGCGCUAAGUAGACCGCCUGGGGAGUACGGGCCGCAAGGUUAAAACUCAAAUGAAUUGACGGGGGCCCGCACAAGCGGUGGAGCAUGUGUUUAAUUCGAUGCAACGCGAGAACCUUACCUACACUUGACAUGCUGAGAGUUACUAGAGAUAGUUUCGUGCCUUCGGGACUCAGACCAGUGCUGCAUGCUGUCGUCAGCUCGUGUCGUGAGAUGUUGGGUAAGUCCCGCAACGAGCGCAACCC
RNAcentral lists this ribosomal RNA (1043 nucleotides) under uncultured bacterium. RNAcentral describes it as "bacterial SSU rRNA". It matches the Rfam family "Bacterial small subunit ribosomal RNA", at positions 57 to 1104 of the family's 1533-position model. The record is from RNAcentral.